RNAcentral lists this ribosomal RNA (698 nucleotides) under uncultured Bacillota bacterium. RNAcentral describes it as "bacterial SSU rRNA". It matches the Rfam family "Bacterial small subunit ribosomal RNA", at positions 211 to 905 of the family's 1533-position model. Lineage: Bacteria; Bacillati; Bacillota. The record is from RNAcentral.
GGGAUAGCACAGGGAUGGACCUAUGGCGCAUUAGCUGGUUGGCGGGGCAACGGCCCACCAAGGCAUCGAUGCGUAGCCGGCCUGAGAGGGCGGACGGCCACAUUGGGACUGAGACACGGCCCAGACUCCUACGGGAGGCAGCAGUAGGGAAUUUUCGGCAAUGGGGGAAACCCUGACCGAGCAACGCCGCGUGAGCGAAGAAGGCCUUCGGGUCGUAAAGCUCUGUUGUAAAGGAAGAACGUCGCAUGCAGGAAAUGGUGUGCGAGUGACGGUACUUUACCAGAAAGCCACGGCUAACUACGUGCCAGCAGCCGCGGUAAUACGUAGGUGGCGAGCGUUAUCCGGAAUCAUUGGGCGUAAAGAGGGAGCAGGCGGCCGCAAGGGUCUGUGGUGAAAGACCGAAGCUAAACUUCGGUAAGCCAUGGAAACCGGGCGGCUAGAGUGCGGAAGAGGAUCGUGGAAUUCCAUGUGUAGCGGUGAAAUGCGUAGAUAUAUGGAGGAACACCAGUGGCGAAGGCGACGGUCUGGGCCGCAACUGACGCUCAUUCCCGAAAGCGUGGGGAGCAAAUAGGAUUAGAUACCCUAGUAGUCCACGCCGUAAACGAUGGUCACUAAGUGUCGGGGGUCAAACCCCGGUGCUGCAGUCAACGCAAUAAGUGACCCGCCUGAGUAGUACGUUCGCAAGAAUGCAACUCAAA